CUAGACAAUCAGCAAAGUGAAAUGGCAGAACCAUGGCCAUCGUAUUCAUCGUCAUCUCGUGGGAAAAAGAAGCGACCACGCUCUCCUGAUGGUGAUGCCACAAGUUCACAAGGCAGAACCGAGAACAGCACAAGCCUUGAGGACAACCUUAUAUUCAGUGAUACUUUGAUAGCUCUACAGUUGAUGCGCACACAGUUCCCAAAGCUAGAGAAGGUUGUAACACAGCCUUUCAUUUUACAGUCUCAAUUAUAUAGCAGCGUGAAGGACAGGACACAAGUUGAUAGAGAUUUGGAGUCACUGAAGAAAGACAGAGUACUCCGUGUAUUCAAACUCAAUACUGGGCAGGAUGACCAUGCAAUCAUGUUCAUGGAUGAUUAUCUUAAACAGAUGGAAUCUGCUGUCAGGAGGUCAACGGGUAAAAACAAAGAUGGUAGUGAAGUGUUUGAUUGGUUUGAGAAAUAUGUUCUGCGUUCGAAAUUGGAUGUAAGCAUUGAUCACCUAGAGCUGUGCUCACUGUUAUCACAUGGUGGUGAUGCAAGAGAUAAACAUAUCACCUUAUUGAUGAAUGCUGGUCUCCUGACACGCCAACUAAUAGAUCCAAACAUGUACUGGUUUUCUAUUCCAAGUAUUGGUCCUAUCUUGAAAGGCCUAUCCCAGGGGAGGAAGGAAGUUCUUUCAUUACUGGGCCGUCGGAAGUACAAGGAGAUGCUACUAUCUUCACUGGAGAAGACGAGGUUGAGGUUAUCACCUCUCGACGUGCGGUUCCACCUCCGCGAUCUGAUUGGGUCUGGUCACGUAAAGACGGUUCAAACACCCACCGGCUUACUUGCUCGCAUGUCAACAGAUUGA
Molecule: ribosomal RNA, 849 nt
Filed under: Triticum aestivum (bread wheat)
Lineage: Eukaryota; Viridiplantae; Streptophyta; Magnoliopsida; Poales; Poaceae
Description: partial small subunit ribosomal RNA
Source: RNAcentral